CGGUAACAGGCCUUCGGGUGCUGACGAGUGGCGAACGGGUGAGUAAUGCAUCGGAACGUGCCCAGUCGUGGGGGAUAACUGCUCGAAAGAGCAGCUAAUACCGCAUACGAUCUGCGGAUGAAAGCGGGGGACCUUCGGGCCUCGCGCGAUUGGAGCGGCCGAUGUCAGAUUAGGUAGUUGGUGGGGUAAAGGCCUACCAAGCCGACGAUCUGUAGCUGGUCUGAGAGGACGACCAGCCACACUGGGACUGAGACACGGCCCAGACUCCUACGGGAGGCAGCAGUGGGGAAUUUUGGACAAUGGGCGCAAGCCUGAUCCAGCAAUGCCGCGUGCGGUAAGAAGGCCUUCGUGUUGUAAACCGCUUUUGUACGGAACGAAAAGGCUCUGGCGAAUACCUGGGGCUGAUGACGG
This 411-nucleotide ribosomal RNA is filed under the name uncultured Hydrogenophaga sp. Its description in RNAcentral is "bacterial SSU rRNA". It matches the Rfam family "Bacterial small subunit ribosomal RNA", at positions 67 to 475 of the family's 1533-position model. Lineage: Bacteria; Pseudomonadati; Pseudomonadota; Betaproteobacteria; Burkholderiales; Comamonadaceae. The record is from RNAcentral.